This 407-nucleotide ribosomal RNA is filed under the name uncultured eukaryote. Its description in RNAcentral is "bacterial SSU rRNA". It matches the Rfam family "Eukaryotic small subunit ribosomal RNA", at positions 592 to 1001 of the family's 1831-position model. The record is from RNAcentral.
CAAGAGCGUAUAUUAAAGUUGUUGCAGUUAAAAAGCUCGUAGUUGGAUUUCUGGUACAACGCGCCUGGCCCGCUUACGUGAGUGCCGGUGCGCGUUUGCCAUCCUUCUAGAAAACGUCUCUACUCGGGCAACUGAGCCGGAUUCGCGAUCUAGAUCUUUUACUUUGAAAAAUUAGAGUGUUUCAAGCAGGCUGUUGCAGGAAUACAUUAGCAUGGAAUAACGAAUGUGUCUGGAAUAUUGGUUAAUUCUAGAUUACGAUUAAUAGGGACAGUUGGGGGAGUUAGUAUUAAUUAGUCAGAGGUGAAAUUACUUUGGUAGUUUAAUUUAAAGAACUAACGUAUGCGAAAGACAUUUCUUCAAGGAGUUGUUUUCUUAUUAAUUACAAGAAACGAAAGAAGUUGGGGUAG